GAUGAACGCUAGCUACAGGCUUAACACAUGCAAGUCGCGGGGCAGCAUGGGGGUUGCUUGCAACUCCCGAUGGCGACCGGCGCACGGGUGAGUAACGCGUAUCCAACCUGCCCUUCACCACAGGAUAACCCGGCGAAAGUCGGACUAAUACCGUAUGUUGUCCAUUGACGGCCUCCGAUUUGGACGAAAGGCUUUGCGGUGAAGGAUGGGGAUGCGUCCGAUUAGCCAGACGGCGGGGUAACGGCCCACCGUGGCUACGAUCGGUAGGGGUUCUGAGAGGAAGGUCCCCCACACUGGAACUGAGACACGGUCCAGACUCCUACGGGAGGCAGCAGUGAGGAAUAUUGGUCAAUGGACGUAAGCCUGAACCAGCCAAGUAGCGGGCAGGAGGACGGCCCUAUGGGUUGUAAACUGCUUUUAUGCGGGGAUAAAGUGGCCCACGUGUGGGCUUUUGCAGGUACCGCAUGAAUAAGGACCGGCUAAUUCCGUG
This 490-nucleotide ribosomal RNA is filed under the name uncultured bacterium. Its description in RNAcentral is "partial 16S ribosomal RNA". It matches the Rfam family "Bacterial small subunit ribosomal RNA", at positions 28 to 507 of the family's 1533-position model. The record is from RNAcentral.